UGGGAACGUGCCUUUCGGUUCGGGACAACCCAGGGAAACUUGGGCUAAUACCGGAUACGCCCUUCGGGGGAAAGAUUCAUUGCCGAAAAAUCGGCCCGCGUCGGAUUAGCUAGUUGGUGGGGUAAAAGCCUACCAAGGCGACGAUCCGUAGCUGGUCUGAGAGGAUGACCAGCCACACUGGGACUGAGACACGGCCCAGACUCCUACGGGAGGCAG
This 216-nucleotide ribosomal RNA is filed under the name uncultured bacterium. RNAcentral's name for it is "partial 16S ribosomal RNA". It matches the Rfam family "Bacterial small subunit ribosomal RNA", at positions 118 to 351 of the family's 1533-position model. The record is from RNAcentral.